UACAGUGCAUUUUCUUUCUUUCUAAAGAAUAAAGCAAAACAUUAUUUCUCUUGUGGAAAGAAAAAUCAUAUGGAAUUGGGGCAGCAACCUUCUGGCACGAGAUUCAUUCUCAUAUGAAAUUACAUAUUCACAUGGAGUAUUUUAAACCAGCAACGUGAAUUCUUUUGGCAAGCAUCAACAUGUUUUAUUCUAUUUUAGGCGGAUUGGAGAUUUCUUCGAACUGAAGUAAGGUGAAAAAAAGAUAAUUUCUUGGCAUAUGAGCCAAAACAAAAACGACACCAUAUUUUCACUUGCUAAGCAUUCACCUUGGAUGGAGCUAAGAACGGCCAUGGAUAAAUAUUUUUGAGCUCUUGGCCAGUUUGCUUUUGGGAGGCAAUUCAAGUAAAAAUCUUGACAAGAAUUUGAAGAACAUCCUUAGAUGUGCAAGUUAAGGUACAGACGACCGAUUUGCUGAUCCGCCCGCUUAGGAUUUUACUCUACGUUUUGGUACAGUCUUUUGCUAUUGUACAUAUAUAUGUUGUUCAGGGGUAUGACGGGGCCCUGUCCCGUCUUAUGAUUGUGUUAUUACUCGUAGAGGUCUGUAGACAUACAUGUGGGUUCUGUAUAUGUUUUGGGUUGCUAUGUUCUAUGAUAGCCUUAUCGGCUUCCGUGCGAUAUGUCUGUUUGUCUGCGAUAAUUAGUAAAGCCAUUCGACUUCUGUAUCUGUAUAUUCUUCUUAUGCACUGGU
Long non-coding RNA from Lycium barbarum (goji berry), 727 nucleotides. RefSeq lists it as uncharacterized. The record is from RefSeq and is a predicted model, not a curated record. The transcript has 3 exons. NCBI's taxonomy places the organism in Eukaryota, Viridiplantae, Streptophyta, Magnoliopsida, Solanales, Solanaceae.